RNAcentral lists this ribosomal RNA (447 nucleotides) under uncultured bacterium. RNAcentral's name for it is "partial 16S ribosomal RNA". It matches the Rfam family "Bacterial small subunit ribosomal RNA", at positions 338 to 795 of the family's 1533-position model. The record is from RNAcentral.
CCUACGGGGGGCAGCAGUAGGGAAUUUUCGGCAAUGGGCGGAACCCUGACCGAGUAACGCCGCGUGAACGAAGAAGGAUUUCGGUAUGUAAAGUUCUUUUAGUGGGGAGGAAAGAGAAAUUGUACGGUAACACAUGAAUAAGCUCCGGCUACCUACGUGCCAGCGGCCGCGGUAAUACGUAGGGAGCAAGCGUUAUCGGGAAUUAUUGGGCGUAAAGGGUUCGUAGAUGGUAGAUCUAAGUCUUUUGUAAAACUGCGAGGCUAAACAUAGUAGGGCAACAGAUACUGAUGAACUAGAGUACGGUAGAGGCAAGUGGAACUACAUGUGUAGCGGUAAAAUGCGUAAAUAUAUGUAAGAACACCGGUGGCGAAGGCGGCUUGCUGGGCCUGUACUGACAUUGAGGUACGAAAGCGUGGGGAGCAAACAGGAUUAGAUACCCUUGUAGUC